CCGGGGGGGGGGGCAUCAGCAAAGAAGAAACGCACAACCUUGGCCGGGAGCCCACCGCACUGACAAAGCAUUGAUGAUCCUGGAGAAACCUCGGCCUGUGUGUGAUCGAACCUUCCGCAGGGGAGAAACCUGAACUCAGGACUUAUGUUUUCUGGCACUGCCAUCAGAUCUUUACCCUUUGGAGUUCUUUCCCCUGUGUGAUGUUAGGCUCUUAACCUAGGGGAAAACCUUUAUGUAACUCACUAAGAGAGAGAAUGCUUCUCUCCAGAGGGUGAAGGCCUUGGCAGAGCAAGAACUCCUGAGAGGGCCAGUGCUUGGACCCUAGUCUGCAGCUCGGGUAUUUCUGUGUGUGGUCUGAUUUCCUGUCCAAAAGGAAAUGUUGUGAAGUUUUUGCUUUGUCUGACACUUUUGGACUUUUGUUUUGUUUCUGAGAUGAUCAUUUGUUUUAGGUGCCUGGUGAGUGUUUGGAAAUAUUUGCCUUUUUUUUUUUUGAUUUUUGUUUUGUUUGUUUGUGGUGUGUGGGUGUGUGGUGGUGGUUCAUGUCUUCCUGACAUGUCUUCAUUUCUCUUUGGGGUUGGAAUUUGAAGGCUUGGUGCUGCUGAGGGCUGAUAGCAGAUUGUUCCAGCCUGGGAUAACUACAUAUGUCCACAGUAUAUGUGCACGCACAUGGCUAUUUAUGUUCCCAAUGUAUGUAUGCUCACAAGACUGAAACAUUUAGUGUGUGUAUGUGUGUGUAUGUGUGUUCCCAGUGUGAGGUGUCUGUAUACACACACACCCAGAAUAGGGCUGAGGGACCCAAGAAUCCUUUAGCCGGCAUCCUCAGGCCCUCAUAGUGACCAAGGUAGUGAAGGGUCUCAUUCCUGUCACCCCAGCCCUGGCUGACAUGUUGCUGAGGCAGGAGAUUAGGAGAUUAGCCUUGAGGUCAUCAACCCCCAAACACUUCAACUACUUAGCGUAAUGGAGGUGAGCCGUGUCCACUUUCUUUCUUCUCUUCCUUGGUGAAUGAACGUGGCUGUUGCUGCAGUACCGCUCUCGGUAGCGCCCGAGAAGUGAGUUGGGUUGCACUGAAAUUGUAUGUCGUCUAUAGGUGAAUGUGUGCGCUGUGCACCAGACCAGGGUGGUUCACCUAUGUAUGUCGUCUAUAGGUGAAUGUGUGCGCUGUGCACCAGACCAGAAUGGUUCACCUAUGUAUGUCGUCUAUAGGUGAAUGUGUGCGCUGUGCACCAGACCAGGGUGGUUCACCUAUGUAUGUCGUCUAUAGGUGAAUGUGUGCGCUGUGCACCAGACCAGGGUGGUUCACCUAGAUUGUGUGUGAUUAGGCACCGCCACCCUUUCCCAAACUUCUUGACUGAAAAAGAAAAGCCAAGUAUUUUGCUAACGACAGGCUCUGUUACAUGUGUUAUUAUUCCAAGCCUGGACUCUUUUAUUUAUUUAAAACUAUUUUCAUUUCCCUAUUGGCUUUCUUCUUAUCCCAUCUGUCCCUGUGUGGCUUCAGGGUAUGUCUUCGUUAGAGUAGACGGGUGGCAGAAAUAGAUUUAUAGUCAUUCAGGAAGCCGGUGGCUUGGAGCUGAGGAGUUCCUUUCGUUCUUGUUGCCUUCGACAGCAAGUGCAAAGUCAAGUUUUUUUUUUUCUUUUGGAUUUUGUUUUUUACAUAUAGCAAAAGACCAAAUUAGCUGUAUAGUCUUGGAUACAGAAAAUAAGAAUUAUUCUAGCUCUCCUAGCAUUUAGGGUUCUGUGGGGAUCCCAUAGCACAGUGCCUGGCUCGUAGAAAGCCUGGCUAAUGUUCAAUAUUGAUAUUAGUAGUUUAUCAUAAAACUUGAGAAAUAAAGAGCUGCGCUCACCCCCUAUCUGUUGAUUCAAACAUGAUGAUUACACAAGAGUCUUGUUGAGUCGAUCAAUGGUAUAGGAAUUUGUUGUUCCAAAUGUUUCAGCUCUGUGCCUACCCUGCUCACUGGAAUUAUACCGUUUUUCUUGAAUGUGCUGAUUGGGAAACAUGUCAGUCUUCAGCACUCUGUGAAACAAGACUGAAAGAAUUUAUUAAGGAAAGUUGAAUCCACCAAUAUGUUCUGGAACAUUCCAGGGGUUUCUUUGGGGACCUUUUUGAGCUCAAAAUUAAAAGUUCUCUCACAAGUUGCA
Non-coding RNA from Myodes glareolus (Bank vole), 2136 nucleotides. Lineage: Eukaryota; Metazoa; Chordata; Mammalia; Rodentia; Cricetidae. The record is from RefSeq and is a predicted model, not a curated record.